CAAUAGCGUAUAUUAAAGUUGUUGCAGUUAAAAAGCUCGUAGUUGGAUUUCUGGUGGGAGCGAUCGGUCUGGCGCUUAGCGCGAGUACUUGCAUCGUCUCCGGCCAUCCUUGGGGAGAGUCUGUCUGGCAUUAAGUUGUCGGGCAGAGGAUCCUCAUCGUUUACUGUGAAAAAAUUAGAGUGUUCAAAGCAGGCUUAUGCCGUUGAAUAUAUUAGCAUGGAAUAAUAGGAUAGGACUUUGGUACUAUUUUGUUGGUUUGCGCACCAAAGUAAUGAUUAAUAGGGACAGUUGGGGGUAUUCGUAUUCCGCUGUCAGAGGUGAAAUUCUUGGAUUUACGGAAGACGAACUACUGCGAAAGCAUUUACCAAGGAUGUUUNCAUUAA
RNAcentral lists this ribosomal RNA (383 nucleotides) under uncultured eukaryote. RNAcentral's name for it is "partial 18S ribosomal RNA". It matches the Rfam family "Eukaryotic small subunit ribosomal RNA", at positions 592 to 976 of the family's 1831-position model. The record is from RNAcentral.